This 497-nucleotide ribosomal RNA is filed under the name uncultured bacterium. RNAcentral describes it as "partial 16S ribosomal RNA". It matches the Rfam family "Bacterial small subunit ribosomal RNA", at positions 28 to 507 of the family's 1533-position model. The record is from RNAcentral.
GAUGAACGCUGGCGGCGUGCCUAAUACAUGCAAGUCGAGCGAACGGACGAGAAGCUUGCUUUUCUGCUGUUAGCGGCGGACGGGUGAGUAACACGUGGAUAACCUACCUCUAAGACUGGGAUAACUUCGGGAAACCGGAGAUAAUACCGGCUCAUAUUUUGAACCGCAUGGUUCAAAAGUGCAAGACGGUCUUGCUGUCACUUAUAGCUGGAUCCGCGCUGCAUUAGCUAGUUGGUAAGGUAACGGCUUACCAAGGCGACGAUGCAUAGCCGACCUGAGAGGAUGAUCAGCCACACUGGAACUGAGACACGGUCCAGACUCCUACGGGAGGCAGCAGUGGGGAAUAUUGCGCAAUGGGCGCAAGCCUGACCGAGCAAUACCGCGUGAGUGAAGAAGGCCUUCGGGUCGUAAAGCCCUUUUGUUGGGAAAGAACAGAAGUAGAUUAAUCUCUGGCUGUUCUGACGGUACCUAAUGAAUAAGCACCGGCUAACUUCGUG